Long non-coding RNA from Carya illinoinensis, 625 nucleotides. RefSeq lists it as uncharacterized. NCBI's taxonomy places the organism in Eukaryota, Viridiplantae, Streptophyta, Magnoliopsida, Fagales, Juglandaceae. The record is from RefSeq and is a predicted model, not a curated record. The transcript has 4 exons.
AUGAAUAAAACUAUGUUUCUUUGGUGAUAAAAAUAAAAAUAAAAUAAAAUACAAUACAACAGAAUAUUUUUACUUUGGAAAUUAGAUUUCUUAACAUCGUUGUCUAUGAUCACCACGGUCCACCAGAUUAUGUCACCAGAGUGAUGGAGUUGCCGCCUGUACAAGUGAAAGAGGACGGUGUGUGCGUGAAAAUGCUCUCUGCUCCUCUCAAUCCCGCCGAUAGCAACACAUUGAAGGAUGGCUUGUCGCUGGAUUGGGCAGGACCUUGUAAAUUCAAUAAUCUUUGAGAAAAUGCCGGAUACAAUGGAAAGGUUGAAUAGGUCGCUGAUGGCUUGCCAAUACAAGUUUGAGGCAGCUAAGCUCCAAAAGAAACUCAGUGGCCUGCAUGAAUUGGAGUCCUGUGUUGAUCAGUCAACCAAAGACAACAUCAAGAUGCUGCCGCAUAUUGCUGGAAAGUUGAAGGCCACCUUUUCGUCAGUGAUUAGGGAAAACAGCCACCUUAUUUUUUAAUCAUGUAUAAACCAUCAAUGACCUCUGAAGAUUGUUGGGAGGACUUUGAACUCUUUUUUAUGCAACCAACCUAAAGAUCAGUAAGUAAUUUAAGUUGAUUAUAGUUCUAUAUCAA